UUCUCGAAUUUAAAAGAGUUAAUUAAUUAAAAAAUUUAUUGUAGCAAAAAUAUUUUUCAUAAUUAAUUAGAAAUGAAAUGUUAAUCGUUUUUAAAUAUAUCUAGUUUUUUUAGAAAAAAAUUUAAUUUUAAAUUAAAUUAAUUAAAAAAUUAAUUAAAAAAUUUUUUAAAAUUUAAAUUUAAUAUUUUAAGGGAUAAGCUUUAAUUUAAAAUAUUUAUAAUUAAAUAUUAAAUUUUUUGAAAAUUUUAAAAUUUAUAUUGUUUAAAAAUUAUAAUUUUUUAUAAAUAAUUUCAUAAAAAAUAAAAUUUAAUUUUAAUUUAAUUUUUUAUAAAAAAAUAAAAUUUAAAAAAAUAAUUUUAGUUAUAAUGAUAAAAUUAGUAUAUAAAUUUUAUUUAAUUAAUAUUAUAAAAUAUUUUUAAAUGAAAAAUUAAUUAUAAGGAAUUCGGCAAAAAUUUAUAUUCACUUGUUUAUCAAAAACAUGUCUUUUUGAAAUAAUUUAAAGUCUAAUCUGCCCACUGAUGAAAAUUGAAGGGCUGCAGUAUUUUGACUGUACAAAGGUAGCAUAAUCAUUAGUCUCUUAAUUGGUGACUUGUAUGAAAGAUUGGAUGAGAUAUAAGCUGUCUUAUUUUUAUUUAUAGAAUUUAAUUUUUU
This 651-nucleotide ribosomal RNA is filed under the name Grapholita molesta (oriental fruit moth). RNAcentral describes it as "partial 16S ribosomal RNA". The record is from RNAcentral. Lineage: Eukaryota; Metazoa; Arthropoda; Insecta; Lepidoptera; Tortricidae.